UUUUUCUUGCCAAAGUUGGAUUCAUUGAGCUACACGUCCACGCCUCAAUCACUCAGAACAAGUUGAUUGCUGGAUGGUAACUUCGUUAUAGCUAAACCAUUUUUAUUAGAUUAACUAAAUUGGAUUCCAUUAAUCUUAUUUGUAUAUGUUCCCUUGACUGCAUAAUUAGCAGUUCCGUUUUCGAAUUAAACAACUGGUCCUUUGGUUUGGCAGUGUUUAUCUCUUUUGAUGAUUCUUUUACACUACUGUUUCUGUUAGAUACUAAUUGAGUUUCAGCUUUGAUUUAUUAACAUGCAUGUCCAUUCUAAUAGACAUUCAUUUCAGGUUUGGACCUUUCUUGGUGGAUGUGUCUCCUUACUUCAUCUCUUUUACUUUCAACUUUGUCGCAACCAUAGAGGAUUCUUAAUUUGAUUCUUCUGGUAUGUAUGUGGUUGCAGCACCCUGUUUGAAAUAUAAUAUAUCAUGUUCUCUGCACCGUCGCUGAUUUUCAAUAGUAACAAUUUCGUACUCCUCCAGCACCAUAUUUCAUUAGGAUAAUGUUAUUGCUUCUUGAGGUUUAUUUAUAGACAUGGGAUGUUCUCAAAGUUUAAUCUUAAUAUAGGUUCAUACGGACUCGGUCGGACAAAGCAAUUUCAUUUGAGCAGAAAUGAUACUAAAUCACCUGUCAGUUAAUCCUUUCAUGUAGGAGAACCAUUAUACUAAUCAGAAGAUGCAUGCGUUCUGGCAUCCACUAAGGGUGACCCCUUUUUUAGUUUUGUCACAUAAUGUUAGUUACUCACCUUAGAGAACCCCCUUUUUUAUCUUCUAUAAGGUUGCCUGCUACUGCUAGCGUAUGCAAGUAAAAGCAGCUAUUUGCACCAUCAUUCAUUGCUUCAAACUUCUGUUGAUCAAUUCACACCCAAAAAAACGCUUACUUGACUGGCUACUAUCAAAUCAAAAUUUUAUAAAACGGACAAUCUAGCACUCAUAUGUCAUAUGACAAUUGCAAAUCUCUCACAGUCUAUCGAAGGGAAAAAGGUGUACAUGUUUUUUAGCUUUUACCUUUAUAAAUGUAUAAGUAUCAUGUACUUAUCUACUUGCUUCCUCAACGCCCCCCUUUAUUAUCCUCUCUAACCUAUUACUAUAUAGUGCAGUGUCAAAUAAUAUAGUUCACACUAUUAGAUAAUUAAGAAAAUAUCUGAGUGACCAAAGCAUUGUUCACCCAGUAGGUUGCAAUACACUCUAUGCAUACUUACGCUUUUGUAACAUUGUUGUUCUCGAAUUCUCAAUACCAGUUUGGCAUUUCAUUCUUUCAUUUAUAAGAAAAUCCUUAACGUCAACUAAGUGUCCCGCAACAACGCACGGGGUAUCAUCUAGUUCAUUCAGUUUGACUGUGCGUAAACACUAUAGUGUACAACUAUCAACUUGUUUCACUAUUCAGUUUGUCAUCCAUUCAGCUUACUUACUGGGGCAUAUUUCUUGUGAGAGUUUACUUGAUAGUACAAUAUGUCAGAAGAAACUACCAUUUCUCCGGAAUGAAUCAUUGAUUGCUCUUUAUACACUUACAACUCGGUUUCUUUCAUAUAAGUUCUGAUGCCUUUCUUUAGGUCGAGCUACUGCCCUGUUAAUUAUUGUAACAAACUUUAUCAUUUGCCAGUUUGCACUGUGUUGAGAACUGACCAAUAAGUUUUGUUUGCCAAUUAGCUUUCUGUGUGCAUGCUCUUAAUCCCCAUAUUACUAAUUUCUGAAUCAAACAUUAUUAUUUCUGUCCUCAACAAGUCGCAGCGCUAUGUUCUGUUUUUUGUUUAGUUAGCUCUGUCAAAUAUAAUCAACCUGCCUAUGUUCCAUUUUGCUAUUUGUACUUAGGUAGAAAAAGCUAAAAUCUGUACAUGUAAUGCUGAAGCUAUAUUGGUUGCUUGUUUCUUAAUUUUUUCUUCUAUAAUGAUGAUCUGAAAUGCCACGCAGGUCAUUAUUGGUGGUGCUACUGCUGUUGUUGUGGUUGUUGGAGGUGUUGCUGUUGCAUCUGGCGGAGCUGCCGUUGGGGCCCCAAAAGGUAACCUUCAUCAGCCACAACCCCACAACAAUGGCUCAAGGUUCUGUGCCCUAUCACCCCUCUUUCUAAAUUACUGAAAUGAACCAAGAUCUCAUAUAUUUAGGAACGGAGGUAGUAGUAAGGUUAAAAUAGAAAAGCAAGGGAUGUUUCUAAUUUGGUUAUGCUAGAAUAAUGCAUCAACUCGUGGCAUUCUUGGAUGUUACUCUAAGGUGUCAAAAUGAUAGUAAAACCUAGGCUCUUGCAUGGUUCUUGAAUUAAUUUUUCUAUUUUAUGGCUAACAAAUAUUGCCUAUGUUGAGACUCUAAACAUGUGGAUUUUCCUCUCAUUUAUAGGAAUUCUACCUGAAGAAAUUCGGAGAAAACUUGAAGCCCCAGUUAGCGACUUGCUUUAUAUGUUAUUGACUUGUCAUGCUAAAUUUGUUGAGAAUUUUGAUAUACUAUUGCACAUGUUACUCGAAUGCUGGUAGUUAUGUACAUAUACUCACAAUAUUAUCCGUUGUUUACUUGAAAUGCAUUCUUGGGCUGAAAGUGGCUGAAAAAGUAUAUGCUGUGUUGAUUCUGCGUUGAUUGUGUAUGUCUAUUCUACAAAAGAAGAGGCACGGUCCAAAUGGAAUUAGUACUGAAAUGUCUAUUUGACCUAAUCUAUUUGGGCUUUGAAAAG
This 2692-nucleotide long non-coding RNA is filed under the name Triticum aestivum (bread wheat). RNAcentral describes it as "long non-coding RNA (TAES_LNC010241)". Lineage: Eukaryota; Viridiplantae; Streptophyta; Magnoliopsida; Poales; Poaceae. The record is from RNAcentral.